CCUACGGGCGGCAGCAGUGGGGAAUAUUGGACAAUGGGCGAAAGCCUGAUCCAGCCAUGCCGCGUGUGUGAAGAAGGCCUUCGGGUUGUAAAGCACUUUCAGUGGGGAAGAAAGCCUUGGGGCUAAUACCCUCGAGGAAGGACAUCACCCACAGAAGAAGCACCGGCUAACUCCGUGCCAGCAGCCGCGGUAAUACGGAGGGUGCGAGCGUUAAUCGGAAUUACUGGGCGUAAAGCGCGCGUAGGCGGUCUGAUAAGCCGCUUGUGAAAGCCCCGGGCUCAACCUGGGAACGGCAUCCGGAACUGUCAGGCUAGAGUGCAGGAGAGGAAGGUAGAAUUCCCGGUGUAGCGGUGAAAUGCGUAGAGAUCGGGAGGAAUACCAGUGGCGAAGGCGGCCUUCUGGACUGACACUGACGCUGAGGUGCGAAAGCGUGGGUAGCAAACAGGAUUAGAUACCCGAGUAGUC
This 465-nucleotide ribosomal RNA is filed under the name Vreelandella stevensii. Its description in RNAcentral is "partial 16S ribosomal RNA". It matches the Rfam family "Bacterial small subunit ribosomal RNA", at positions 338 to 795 of the family's 1533-position model. The record is from RNAcentral. Lineage: Bacteria; Pseudomonadati; Pseudomonadota; Gammaproteobacteria; Oceanospirillales; Halomonadaceae.